This 435-nucleotide ribosomal RNA is filed under the name uncultured Lachnospiraceae bacterium. RNAcentral's name for it is "partial 16S ribosomal RNA". It matches the Rfam family "Bacterial small subunit ribosomal RNA", at positions 341 to 792 of the family's 1533-position model. The record is from RNAcentral. Lineage: Bacteria; Bacillati; Bacillota; Clostridia; Lachnospirales; Lachnospiraceae.
ACGGAAGGCAGCAGUGGGGAAUAUUGCACAAUGGGCGAAAGCCUGAUGCAGCGACGCCGCGUGAGCGAAGAAGUAUUUCGGUAUGUAAAGCUCUAUCAGCAGGGAAGAAAAAUGACGGUACCUGACUAAGAAGCACCGGCUAAAUACGUGCCAGCAGCCGCGGUAAUACGGAUGGUGCAAGCGUUAUCCGGAUUUACUGGGUGUAAAGGGAGCGCAGGCGGUACGGCAAGUCUGAUGUGAAAGCCCGGGGCUCAACCCCGGUACUGCAUUGGAAACUGUCGAACUAGAGUGUCGGAGGGGUAAGUGGAAUUCCUAGUGUAGCGGUGAAAUGCGUAGAUAUUAGGAGGAACACCAGUGGCGAAGGCGGCUUACUGGACGAUCACUGACGCUGAGGCUCGAAAGCGUGGGGAGCAAACAGGAUUAGAUACCCUGGUA